Molecule: ribosomal RNA, 253 nt
Filed under: uncultured bacterium
Lineage: Bacteria
Description: partial 16S ribosomal RNA
Rfam family: Bacterial small subunit ribosomal RNA
Source: RNAcentral
UACGAAGGGGGCUAGCGUUGCUCGGAAUCACUGGGCGUAAAGCGCACGUAGGCGGCUUGUUAAGUCAGGGGUGAAAUCCUGGAGCUCAACUCCAGAACUGCCUUUGAUACUGGCGAGCUUGAGUUCGGGAGAGGUGAGUGGAACUGCGAGUGUAGAGGUGAAAUUCGUAGAUAUUCGCAAGAACACCAAUGGCGAAGGCAGCUCGCUGGGACGUUACUGACGCUGAGACGCGAAAGCGUGGGGAGCAAACAGG